UGCGGCUUAAUUUGACUCAACACGGGAAACCUCACCCGGCCCGGACACGGACAGGAUUGACAGAUUGAUAGCUCUUUCUCGAUUCCGUGGGUGGUGGUGCAUGGCCGUUCUUAGUUGGUGGAGCGAUUUGUCUGGUUAAUUCCGAUAACGAACGAGACUCUGGCAUGCUAACUAGUUACGCGACCCCCGAGCGGUCGGCGUCCCCCAACUUCUUAGAGGGACAAGUGGCGUUCAGCCACCCGAGAUUGAGCAAUAACAGGUCUGUGAUGCCCUUAGAUGUCCGGGGCUGCACGCGCGCUACACUGACUGGCUCAGCGUGUGCCUACCCUACGCCGGCAGGCGCGGGUAACCCGUUGAACCCCAUUCGUGAUGGGGAUCGGGGAUUGCAAUUAUUCCCCAUGAACGAGGAAUUCCCAGUAAGUGCGGGUCAUAAGCUUGCGUUGAUUAAGUCCCUGCCCUUUGUACACACCGCCCGUCGCUACUACCGAUUGGAUGGUUUAGUGAGGCCCUCGGAUCGGCCCCGCCGGGGUCGGCCCACGGCCCUGGCGGAGCGCUGAGAAGACGGUCGAACUUGACUAUCUAGAGGA
RNAcentral lists this ribosomal RNA (587 nucleotides) under Odocoileus virginianus (white-tailed deer). RNAcentral's name for it is "SSU rRNA". It matches the Rfam family "Eukaryotic small subunit ribosomal RNA", at positions 1184 to 1780 of the family's 1831-position model. The record is from RNAcentral. Lineage: Eukaryota; Metazoa; Chordata; Mammalia; Artiodactyla; Cervidae.